This 607-nucleotide long non-coding RNA is filed under the name Capsicum annuum. RNAcentral's name for it is "long non-coding RNA (CANN_LNC003640)". The record is from RNAcentral. Lineage: Eukaryota; Viridiplantae; Streptophyta; Magnoliopsida; Solanales; Solanaceae.
ACAACUAACCAUAUUAUAGUCUUAUUAUAUUAAUUUUAAAAAUAAUUCAAUAGAUCAAUAGAUCUACUUUUUUUUAUUAAUAUAACUUAAAUUAUUAAUUAUUAAAAAUAACAAGUCAAUUUUUCCAAGAUUCAUUAUGACACAAAUAACAGACAAGUUGGGGAGAAAAACAAUGAAACCGUAUCUGAUCUCCGGCGAACCUUCACCGGAGUCAACUUCCGAUUUUAAUUUUUUGAUGAUUUAAUGGCUGAUCUGGAUCGAAACAGUGGAAUACGAGAGUGGAGUUGCGUUAAUCAACGAAGGGUGGCCGGCAACGGAGUUAUCGCCAAUGGGAUGUUUCCGGCCAGAUCUGGCCUUCCCAUGGUGCGGCAGGGGUCGGGAGAAGGGGAGAAAGGGGUCAAAACGGCGCGGGGAAAGGUGUUUUCCGGCGACGGAGGGAGAGAAAGGGAUAACGGGAAAGGGGAUUUGGGGAUGGUGCGUGACGGAAACUAGUAGAAGCGCGUUUACCGGUGAUUAAAUCCGGCGAGAUGUGGCGGUUUAGUCACGGGAGGCGAUGGAAAAAGAGCGGUGGUUGGGUCGGUUUUCAGUUAGUUUCCAGCGGAUUUUU